This 2729-nucleotide long non-coding RNA is filed under the name Brassica rapa (field mustard). Its description in RNAcentral is "long non-coding RNA (BRAP_LNC007506)". The record is from RNAcentral. Lineage: Eukaryota; Viridiplantae; Streptophyta; Magnoliopsida; Brassicales; Brassicaceae.
GAAGCAUGUGAUGACCUUAGGUGGUUUUCUCUUUGAGCUUCUCUCAGAAGCUCUUGGUUUACACUCGGAGAUACUUAAGAGCAUGGAUUGCAUGAAGGCUUUGAAUGUGCUCGGCCAUUAUUACCCUCCUUGUCCACAACCCGACCUAACUUUGGGCACAAGUCAGCAUUCCGACAGCUCCUUCAUCACCAUUCUUCUUCAGGACCAAAUCGGUGGUCUUCAAAUUCUUCAUAAGGACUCUUGGGUCGAUGUCACUCCUCUUCCCGGAGCGCUCGUCAUCAACAUAGGAGAUUAUUUACAGGCAAUAUAUCAUUUUGGAGCUUUUAAAAGUAUAAUAUACAAUGCACUUAUGCUGAGAAACAAGGACACCUUUUAAUAUGCAGCUAAUAACGAAUGACAAGUUCAUAAGCGUGGAGCAUAGGGUGCUUGCAAACAGAGCAGGACCGAGGAUUUCUGUCGCGGGCUUUUUCAGCACAAAUAUGCUUCCCAAUUCAACGGUUUACGGACCAAUCAAAGAGCUUCUUUCUGAAGAAAACCCUCCAAAAUACAAAGACAUCACUUUAGAAGAAUACAACAGGGGGUACUUUGAGAAAGGCCUUGACGGAACAUCACAUCUGUCUAGGUUCAAGAUAUGAAGAGCAUCUGAGUUAAAAUAUAUGUUCAUCAGUUCUUGUCUUGUUUCCCCUCUUAGCUCCCCUAUAACUAAACCACUACCAAAAGUAAGUACAGAAAUUGUGUGUCAGCAUUUAUUAAAUUCCCAUCGUAACAGCUUUGUAUUGGAUCUACAGAAAUAAAAUCAUUGUUUGUGUAUCAGAAUAGAAGUUAUUACUUCAAUGUUGGUGCUAGUUAUCAUUAAUUAUGCAAAUUUUAUAAAAUCAUUGUUUGUGUAUCAGGAUAAAAGUUGUUACUUCAAUGUUGGUGCUAGUUAUCAUUAUUUCGGUUCUUGAGUAAAUAAAAGUCGCCAGAUGUUUUCUUAGAACAUUUAAUUUAAUGUUCAGAGAAAUCUCUUCAAACAAAUACUACUAGUAAUAAUACUAUAAACAUAUAAUAUAAUGUAUCUAAAUCUUAUAAUAUAUAUUUAAAUCAACUAAUUUUUAUCAAAAUAAUAUUUAUAUAAUAUGUUUUGGUUUAGAUUUCAUAAAUUUUACGAGCUUUCUUUUAAAAACAGCUGUAAAAAUCUAUAAUAGAUAACUUCCUAAAUUAUUUCUAAUAUUUUCUCUUUCAAAUUCAGAAAAUGAUGUGUGAACUAGAUUAUUAGUCAAUGAAAAUAUUUGUGAAAAAUAUAAUAAAACUUUCACUAUGAGGAGGAUUUUUUUGGAUCAAUAUGAGGAAGAUUAUUCGACCCGUUCGUUUUAAGUUUUUUUUUUUAAGUUUUCCUCGUUGUGACUGUUUAUGCUGACAUCACGGCCAACAACAUGUGCUAACGUCAUCAACGGUCAUUGUCGUUCCACACACCAAAAGACCAAAUUUCAACCAUGGAGGCUGCAAUGCCUCUCUUAUCUUUUCCUUUACCUCAUGUUCAUAACAAAGAAUAGAUAUACCUAUAAGAGAUACUGCCUUAAUCACUAAUCGACCACAAGAUCGAAAACGUAAACUACUUUUCUUGAUAUUCAAGUAACAUCAAGAUGCAGACUACGUACAGUAUUCUUCUUCUUCUUCGUCCUAUAUAUGGCGCAGCCUUUGUUAGAAAUCUCGAAAUAGUUUCAAAAGAACAAAUAUGGAGAUCGACUCUUAUAACGAGCGCAAAGCUUUCGACGAGACAAAAGCAGGAGUAAAAGGUCUCGUCGAUGCUCACAUCACUGAGGUUCCUCAUAUCUUCCGUCUCCCUCACGGUACCUUACCCGACAAGAAACCCUCUGUUUCUGCCUCCGCGAUUCCUGUUAUCGACCUUGCGGACGUCCAUGUAUCACGUGAAGGCAUCGUUAAGAAGGUCAAAGACGCAGCGGAGACGUGGGGAUUCUUCCAGGUGAUCAAUCAUGGUGUUCCUUUAAGCGUUAUCGAAGAGAUCAAAGGUGGAGUUCGCAGGUUUCAUGAGCAAGAUCUUGAAGUUAAGAAAUCUUACUUCACGCGUGACGUCACCAAGAGUGUUGUCUACAAUAGUAAUUUUGAUCUGUACAAUCCUUCUUCUCUAUGUGUUAACUGGAGAGACUCCUUCGUUUGUUGUAUGGCUCCUGAUCCUCCAAACCCUGAUGAGAUCCCAUUGGCUUGCAGGUAUAAAUAUUGUUUUUCUCUUCAAACAUCUUUGGAAGAUAUGUUGAUUUUAACUAGGGCUGGAUGAGAUUUUGUGGAUAUAGAUAUUUAUUAAAAUUUUAAUUUAAAAUAUUUAUAUAAUUCAGAGGCCGAUUUCUUUGUAUAUAACUUUUUCAAAUUUUGGGAACUAAUGUCAAUAUAUAUAUAUAUAUAUAUAUAUAAUCCUGAAUUUCUAACUGACAUCAUUGGCUUAGGGAUGCUAUGAUCGAGUACUCCAAGCAUGUGAUGACCUUAGGUGGUUUUCUCUUUGAACUCUUGUCCGAAUCUCUUGGUUUGCACUCGGAGAUGCUUAAGAGCAUGGAUUGCAUGAAGGGUUUGAAUAUGAUCGGCCAUUAUUACCCUCCUUGUCCACAACCCGACCUAACUUUUGGCACAAGUCAGCAUUCCGACAGCUCCUUCAUCACCAUUCUUCUUCAGGACCAAAUCGGUGGUCUUCAAAUUCUUCAUAAGGACUCUUGGGUCGAUGUCUCUCCUCUUCC